Paramuricea clavata is the source of this 372-nucleotide non-coding RNA. The record is from the annotation of a GenBank genome assembly. Lineage: Eukaryota; Metazoa; Cnidaria; Anthozoa; Malacalcyonacea; Plexauridae.
GGCUACAAAAAAGUCAAAUACUGUACAUCCUUCCAGAAAGUAUGCCACUUUGACUAUGGAGCCUCGUUUUUGUGUAUUUGACAUGUAAAUGAAAAUGAGACUACAGCCUAUAACCAAGAUGAUAUACUUUCUGGAAGCAUGUAUUAAUUAAAAUAUAGUUGUUCAAAAUUAAUCAAGCUUUAAUUGUAUGUUCAGUUCAGGCACAGAUUUUCUGGGGGGGGGGUGGUGCCCCCCAGAGGCAUUUGGCAACGCCCCUAAAAGUUUUUGCACCCCGCAAAUUAUAUAUAUUUUGAUUUGAUAGUUUCAUAUUUGAUUAUUCUUACUACUAAAUUUGUAAAAUUACCAAUAUUAUGGUCUCAGAUCUCGCCAUGC